AAUCCAUGCUUCCAAACCAAACACAUACGUAAGUCACUCAUGCAAUUGCGUGUUGAAUUAUUAACAAAUUUUAAGAUUUUGUUUUGAGAUCACCUCUAGCUCGAAUUCCAAGCAAGGAAUCCAUCCAGAACGAAGAAGGUAUUCAACUUCGCUGGCCAAUUGCUCCCUUGUAAGUGGUGGAAGGUAUGAGAGAGUCUCGAACUUCUUCAUCCCAAGUGUUGGCCAAACCUACACUCCCAUUUUCACACUAAGUAAUUCAGCAUAUACAUAUGAACUAAAGGCUGAUCCAAUCUACUUGUAAUUUGAACUCGAUCUCUAGCUCUAGAAAAAUCCUAGAAUUAUUUUACGGAUUUUAAAAUUCCAUUUUAUUAUUUCUGUUAUUAUUAAUUGUAGUAAGCUAACAACUAGAGAAAUGAAGUUAGAAAAAUGGAG
RNAcentral lists this long non-coding RNA (432 nucleotides) under Manihot esculenta (cassava). RNAcentral describes it as "long non-coding RNA (MESC_LNC002954)". Lineage: Eukaryota; Viridiplantae; Streptophyta; Magnoliopsida; Malpighiales; Euphorbiaceae. The record is from RNAcentral.